Molecule: long non-coding RNA, 2055 nt
Organism: Crocodylus porosus (Australian saltwater crocodile)
Lineage: Eukaryota; Metazoa; Chordata; Crocodylia; Crocodylidae
Source: Ensembl
CUCCAAAGAGAGGAGGUGCGUCUCCUUGUCCUUCUCUAAUCCCAUCACUACUCUAGAUCUCAAAUAUGGGUUACUGUUGGCUCCAUUACACAGAUCCCCUACUACAGAAAGGAUGUGGACAAAUUGGAGAGAGUCCAGUAGAGGGCAAUGAAAAUGGUUGUGGGGCUGGGGAACAUGACUUGUGAAGAGAGGCUGAGGGAACUGGGCUGAUUUAGUCUGGAGAAGAGAAGGCUGAGUGGGGAUUUAAUAGUUUUCAACUCCCUGCUGGGGGUUGCAAAGAGGAUGGAGCUGGACUGGUCUCAGUGGUGGCAGAUGACAGAACAAGGAGGAAGGGGCUCAAGUUGCAGCAAGGGAAGUGAGGUUGGAUAUUAGGAAAAGUGUUCUCACUAGGAGGGCAGCAAAGCACUGGAAGAGGUUACCCAGAGAGGUGGUGGAGUAUCCAUCUGGAGGGCAGGGAGCAGCUGCAAGCAGACCUGGACAGGUUAGACAAGUGGGCAGAAAACAACAGAAUGCAGUUCAACAAGGAGAAAUGCAAAGNNNNNNNNNNNNNNNNNNNNNNNNNNNNNNNNNNNNNNNNNNNNNNNNNNNNNNNNNNNNNNNNNNNNNNNNNNNNNNNNNNNNNNNNNNNNNNNNNNNNGGACUGCCCCCCCUGCCCUACGUUGCUCCCUUGUCCCCCAAACCGUGACCAUUGCCCCUCAUUGUCAGCCCCCCCACCCGAGCCCGUGCUGCAGCCCAGUGCCCCGCAUGGGGCUACAUCCCCUGGGAGGAGAUGCGGAGGAGCCUGGCGCCCAGCCAGCUGGCCAAGCGCAAGCCGGACGGUGCCUGCGAGGACGAGGACGAGGACUGGCGCCCGCCCGCCACGCCGAAGAGACAGAAACCUGGCAGUGACACAGAGAGUGGGCAAUGCUACAUGUCGCCUUUCCGGAAACCCCUGGCUCAGCUUACCAAUCGGCCUCAUUGCCUUGAUAGCAGCAAACAUGAGGCGUUUAUCCGCAGCAUUUUGUCAAAACCCUUCAAAGUCCCCAUUCCAAAUUAUAAAGGGCCUCUGGGCUUGAGGGCACUGGGCAUCAAGCGGGCAGGGGUGAGGAACUCUCUCCACGACCCUUUUGAAGAAGGAGCUCUGGUUCUCUAUGAGCCCCCUCCACUGAGCGCGCACGACCAGCUGAAAAUAGACAAGUGAGUUACCCCCAGAGGGAAAUCAUCAGUGCUAAUUUUAACUCCAACCUCCUCCUAUAUUUAUUUCUUCCAUUCCCCUGUGGCUUUGAGCCAAAUGUAGCCUGUGAAAUUUGGAGGGGCUCUGGGCUGUUUCUCCUUGUAGAAAUAGUAAAGGAUGGAACCAGAUCUACAAUCAGUUGUUUUGUGUUUUGUCCAGGGAAUGGGCUCUUUGAUUUCCCAUUACUCAGUGGCCUGUCAGACCUUUAAGUCUGCUUCUCUGAGAGUCUGUGCUCCAUGGAGGAAAGUUGUUCAGAGAAUAUUAAAGCUUGACUGGUCCAGUGCUCAGUCAGGAAGUACCAGCAGGAAGGUACAAGCCAAAGGACACAGCUGACUGAAAACAGGGGAUUUGAAUGGGAACUUUUAGACAACCUCACCCAGAGCAGUCACUUCUCCACCCUUUUUAUAACUUGGAGGGUUUGCCAUAUGGCAAGGUUGGUGGUAGGUACUAACUUAGGGCUUGAAAGGCGGAGGUUCAAGUCUUGGCCUCUUAUGUGACAUUGUAGGCAAGUUGUCUGUCCCCUCUGUGCCUCAGUGUUUCAUCUGUGCUGUGAAGAUCGCAUGUCCCUGCCUUGCAGGGGUGACUUGAGGAUAAAUGUGUUAAAAGAUUGAGGUGCUUGGCUGCUGCAGUGAUGGCGGCUGUUUGAGAGUUGUGGGAUGCUUUUAGCCUGGGUGGCCGCUGGCAAACCCAUUACAUCAGAUUCCAGGAUGGUAGGCACGAGAAAGUGGUCUCUCCUGCUCCGAUAUGGUUCUAGCACAUGUCUGUGUUAUGGUUGUGGGAGGAAAUCUGAUGCUGAUUUAACUGAGCCUCUGAGCUAUGUUUCAGCUCUUCAUAGAUUUCAU